CGCCCGGGCAGGUACGGCGGGAAAGAUCUCAAAUGAGGUAGGAUUACCCGCUGAAUUUAAGCAUAUAAUUAAGCGGAGGAAAAGAAACUAACAAGGAUUCCCUCAGUAACGGCGAGUGAAGCGGGAAGAGCUCAAACCGAAAAUCACUGCCGCCCCGGCAGCGAAUUGUGGUCUAGGGAGGCGUGUCUCAGUGUUCGACCCCGGCCUAAGUCCGUUGGAAGGCGGCAUCAGAGAGGGUGACAAUCCCGUCUUUGGCUGGUGUGCGUCGGCGCGUUCGAGCCGUCCUCUAAGAGUCGGGUUGCUUGGGAGUGCAGCCCUAAGUGGGUGGUAAAUUUCAUCUAAAGCUAAAUACCUGUUGAGAGACCCGAUAGCCGAACAAGUACCUGCCCCGGGGGCGUU
This 399-nucleotide ribosomal RNA is filed under the name Plasmodiophora brassicae. RNAcentral describes it as "eukaryotic LSU rRNA". It matches the Rfam family "Eukaryotic large subunit ribosomal RNA", at positions 1 to 365 of the family's 3401-position model. The record is from RNAcentral. Lineage: Eukaryota; Endomyxa; Phytomyxea; Plasmodiophorida; Plasmodiophoridae.